This 1321-nucleotide ribosomal RNA is filed under the name Staphylococcus aureus. Its description in RNAcentral is "partial 23S ribosomal RNA". It matches the Rfam family "Bacterial large subunit ribosomal RNA", at positions 1028 to 2350 of the family's 2925-position model. The record is from RNAcentral. Lineage: Bacteria; Bacillati; Bacillota; Bacilli; Caryophanales; Staphylococcaceae.
CAGACCACCAGCUAAGGUCCCAAAAUAUAUGUUAAGUGGAAAAGGAUGUGGCGUUGCCCAGACAACUAGGAUGUUGGCUUAGAAGCAGCCAUCAUUUAAAGAGUGCGUAAUAGCUCACUAGUCGAGUGACACUGCGCCGAAAAUGUACCGGGGCUAAACAUAUUACCGAAGCUGUGGAUUGUCCUUUGGACAAUGGUAGGAGAGCGUUCUAAGGGCGUUGAAGCAUGAUCGUAAGGACAUGUGGAGCGCUUAGAAGUGAGAAUGCCGGUGUGAGUAGCGAAAGACGGGUGAGAAUCCCGUCCACCGAUUGACUAAGGUUUCCAGAGGAAGGCUCGUCCGCUCUGGGUUAGUCGGGUCCUAAGCUGAGGCCGACAGGCGUAGGCGAUGGAUAACAGGUUGAUAUUCCUGUACCACCUAUAAUCGUUUUAAUCGAUGGGGGGACGCAGUAGGAUAGGCGAAGCGUGCGAUUGGAUUGCACGUCUAAGCAGUAAGGCUGAGUAUUAGGCAAAUCCGGUACUCGUUAAGGCUGAGCUGUGAUGGGGAGAAGACAUUGUGUCUUCGAGUCGUUGAUUUCACACUGCCGAGAAAAGCCUCUAGAUAGAAAAUAGGUGCCCGUACCGCAAACCGACACAGGUAGUCAAGAUGAGAAUUCUAAGGUGAGCGAGCGAACUCUCGUUAAGGAACUCGGCAAAAUGACCCCGUAACUUCGGGAGAAGGGGUGCUCUUUAGGGUUAACGCCCAGAAGAGCCGCAGUGAAUAGGCCCAAGCGACUGUUUAUCAAAAACACAGGUCUCUGCUAAACCGUAAGGUGAUGUAUAGGGGCUGACGCCUGCCCGGUGCUGGAAGGUUAAGAGGAGUGGUUAGCUUCUGCGAAGCUACGAAUCGAAGCCCCAGUAAACGGCGGCCGUAACUAUAACGGUCCUAAGGUAGCGAAAUUCCUUGUCGGGUAAGUUCCGACCCGCACGAAAGGCGUAACGAUUUGGGCACUGUCUCAACGAGAGACUCGGUGAAAUCAUAGUACCUGUGAAGAUGCAGGUUACCCGCGACAGGACGGAAAGACCCCGUGGAGCUUUACUGUAGCCUGAUAUUGAAAUUCGGCACAGCUUGUACAGGAUAGGUAGGAGCCUUUGAAACGUGAGCGCUAGCUUACGUGGAGGCGCUGGUGGGAUACUACCCUAGCUGUGUUGGCUUUCUAACCCGCACCACUUAUCGUGGUGGGAGACAGUGUCAGGCGGGCAGUUUGACUGGGGCGGUCGCCUCCUAAAAGGUAACGGAGGCGCUCAAAGGUUCCCUCAGAAUGGUUGGAAAUCAUUCAUAGAGU